Molecule: ribosomal RNA, 465 nt
Filed under: uncultured bacterium
Lineage: Bacteria
Description: partial 16S ribosomal RNA
Rfam family: Bacterial small subunit ribosomal RNA
Source: RNAcentral
GAUGAACGCUGGCGGCGUGCUUAACACAUGCAAGUCGAACGGAAAGGCUCCUGCUUGCAGGGGUACUCGAGUGGCGAACGGGUGAGUAACACGUGGGUGAUCUGCCCUGCACUUCGGGAUAAGCCUGGGAAACUGGGUCUAAUACCGGAUAGGACGAUGGUUUGGAUGCCAUUGUGGAAAGUUUUUCGGUGUGGGAUGAGCUCGCGGCCUAUCAGCUUGUUGGUGGGGUAAUGGCCUACCAAGGCGUCGACGGGUAGCCGGCCUGAGAGGGUGUACGGCCACAUUGGGACUGAGAUACGGCCCAGACUCCUACGGGAGGCAGCAGUGGGGAAUAUUGCGCAAUGGGCGCAAGCCUGAUGCAGCGACGCCGCGUGGGGGAUGACGGCCUUCGGGUUGUAAACUCCUUUCGCUAGGGACGAAGCGCAAGUGACGGUACCUGGAGAAGAAGCACCGGCUAACUACGUG